AUAUACGACCGUACCGCAAACCGACACUGGUGCGCGAGAUGAGUAUUCUAAGGCGCUUGAGAGAACUCAGGAGAAGGAACUCGGCAAAUUGACACCGUAACUUCGGAAGAAGGUGUGCCCUACUAGUGUGUAGUGAACAACGAAGCAUGAAUGGGUUGCAAAAAAUCGGUGGCUGCGACUGUUUAUUAAAAACACAGCACUCUGCAAACACGAAAGUGGACGUAUAGGGUGUGACCCUGCCCGGUGCUGGAAGAUUAAAUGAUGGGGUGCAAGCUCUUGAUUGAAGUCCCAGUAAACGGCGGCCGUAACUAUAACGGUCCUAAGGUAGCGAAAUUCCUUGUCGGGUAAGUUCCGACCUGCACGAAUGGCGUAACGAUGGCCACACUGUCUCCUCCUGAGACUCAGCGAAGUUGAAAUGUUUGUGAUGAUGCAAUCUCCCCGCGGAAAGACGGAAAGACCCCAUGAACCUUUACUGUAGCUUUGUAUUGGACUUUGAACAGAUCUGUGUAGGAUAGGUGGGAGGCUUUGAAGCAGGGUCGCUAGAUCUUGUGGAGCCAACGUUGAAAUACCACCCUGGUGUGUUUGAGGUUCUAACCUAGGUCCAUUAUCUGGAUCGGGGACAGUGCAUGGUAGGCAGUUUGACUGGGGCGGUCUCCUCCCAAAGCGUAACGGAGGAGUUCGAAGGUACGCUAGUUACGGUCGGACAUCGUGACGAUAGUGCAAUGGCAUAAGCGUGCUUAACUGCGAGACUGACAAGUCGAGCAGAUGCGAAAGCAGGACAUAGUGAUCCGGUGGUUCUGUAUGGAAGGGCCAUCGCUCAACGGAUAAAAGGUACUCUGGGGAUAACAGGCUGAUACCGCCCAAGAGUUCAUAUCGACGGCGGUGUUUGGCACCUCGAUGUCGGCUCAUCUCAUCCUGGGGCUGUAGCCGGUCCCAAGGGUAUGGCUGUUCGCCAUUUAAAGAGGUACGUGAGCUGGGUUUAAAACGUCGUGAGACAGUUUGGUCCCUAUCUUCCGUGGGCGCUGCAGAUUUGAGGAAGCCUGCUCCUAGUACGAGAGGACCGGAGUGGACACACCUCUGGUGUAUCGGUUGUCACGCCAGUGGCAUUGCCGAGUAGCUAAGUGUGGAAGACAUAACCGCUGAAAGCAUCUAAGCGGGAAACUCGUUUCAAGAUGAGAUCUGCCGGGGCCUUGAGCCCCCUAAAGAGUCGUUCAAGACCAGGACGUUGAUAGGUCAGGUGUGGAAGCG
RNAcentral lists this ribosomal RNA (1248 nucleotides) under metagenome. Its description in RNAcentral is "bacterial LSU rRNA". It matches the Rfam family "Bacterial large subunit ribosomal RNA", at positions 1634 to 2875 of the family's 2925-position model. The record is from RNAcentral.